Molecule: non-coding RNA, 94 nt
Organism: Podarcis lilfordi (Lilford's wall lizard)
Lineage: Eukaryota; Metazoa; Chordata; Lepidosauria; Squamata; Lacertidae
Source: the annotation of a GenBank genome assembly
CUCCAGAUGUUUUGGGACUACAACUCCCAUCAUCCCUGACCACUGGUCCUGUUAGCUAGGGAUGAUGGGAGUUGUAGUCCCAAAACAUCUGGAG